UAGGUGUUGUCGUGACAAAGAAGGAGCCUCCUUUAAGAGCAUACACGUAGAAAGUUGAGAGCAUCGUGUGUUUGUCUGCAUGUCACUUCAUGGAGUCCUAUCUUUUUCUUUCUUUAUUUUUCUUAAAUUCAUUAUAUAUUAUUAUGACUCUCCACCACUCCUUUAUUUCUUCAAAGCUUCUCAAACUCUUAUUUCCUCUUUCAUGUUUAUGUGAGUUUUGGAAUUUAUUUCUGUCGGAAAAAAAUUCAACAAGAAAAACACAACUCAAAGUAGUUUUAGGUAGACAAGGAGGCAGAGAGAAUUGUAGAACUAGAAGAUGCAUGUACUAGUGAUAUCGUUGCCUUUGGCUAUAUUGGUAUUGAUCAUACUAGCCAUUAUUUGUUACCUCUUUGGAAGAAGAAGGGGUCGAUGGUGAUUAAUUAAUUAUUCAAAAUGCUUUAUUAUGGCUCCUCCAAGCUCUUGUUGGAUACAGGCUAAAAGAAAAA
This is a long non-coding RNA of Lycium ferocissimum, 485 nucleotides long. RefSeq lists it as uncharacterized. The transcript has 2 exons. Lineage: Eukaryota; Viridiplantae; Streptophyta; Magnoliopsida; Solanales; Solanaceae. The record is from RefSeq and is a predicted model, not a curated record.